AUACGGAGGGGGCAAGCGUUAUUCGGAAUUAUUGGGCGUAAAGGGCGCGUAGGCGGCCUGACAAGUCAAAGGUGAAAUCCCUCGGCCUAACCGAGGAACUGCCUUUGAAACUGCCAGGCUUGAGGCCGGGAGAGGGUAGUGGAAUUCCUAGUGUAGCGGUGAAAUGCGUAGAUAUUAGGAGGAACACCAGUGGCGAAGGCGACUACCUGGACCGGUACUGACGCUGAGGCGCGAAAGCGUGGGGAGCAAACAGGAUUAGAAACCCGGGUAGUCC
This 274-nucleotide ribosomal RNA is filed under the name uncultured bacterium. Its description in RNAcentral is "partial 16S ribosomal RNA". It matches the Rfam family "Bacterial small subunit ribosomal RNA", at positions 523 to 796 of the family's 1533-position model. The record is from RNAcentral.